Long non-coding RNA from Oncorhynchus kisutch (coho salmon), 1243 nucleotides. RefSeq lists it as uncharacterized. Lineage: Eukaryota; Metazoa; Chordata; Actinopteri; Salmoniformes; Salmonidae. The transcript is spliced from 4 exons. The record is from RefSeq and is a predicted model, not a curated record.
GCCGAUAUACCAAAAGGCAAAGGGCUGUGUUCUAGCACUCCGCGUUGCGUCGUGAUAAUUAAGAACAGCCCUUCGCCGUUGAUUAUUGGCCAUAUAACACACCCCCUCGGGCCUUAUUGCUUAAAUAUAGCGUGUUGAUUUGUUAAUAUGCAUUCCUGCAUCCAGGAGCGCCUUCUUACGGUUUUCCUGCAUGCUCAAGUCAUUGUGAUGCACUGGGAGAGGAGCGAGAACUCUCAUACAAUAAAACAACCUGCUCUCCGAAGUCCACGUUUUUAAUCUCAAUCACACACAGCGGCGCAGUACAGCACCGGUUACAUUGGUGUCUUCUAGACCCGGAUUCACCGAAGAUCAACGUCAGCUCGAUCACCGUGGAGCUGCUGCUCUAGAGACUGUUUACAUCAUGAGAGCACCCUCGUCUGAGUGUGCCAGAGCAAAGAAUUACUGCUGAAUUUACAAACCCGCACCAGCCGUUGUAAACAUCGGCAAACAUUUCAGUCAUCAACGCUCUAAACAACACGAAAACAGCCUAACCAACAAUGCUAGGGCACUUCCGGAUUUUCAUUUGGCUCACUUGCAGCCAACACAACAUUAUCCUCAGCUUUUUGGCUUUGCCACGACCACCACCACUGUCACCCAAGGGACAUCCAGCCAACUUUAGGAAGCAUUGGCGUCAACAUGGGCCAGCAUCCCUGUGGAACUCUUUAGACACCUCGUAGAGUCCACGCCUCGACGAAUUGAUGCUGUAUGAGAGCAAAAGGAAUGCAGAUCUAUAUUAGGAAGGUGUUCCUUAUGUUUUGUACACUCAGUGUAUAUUUGGUUUUGUGUUUUAGGUAAUUAUCCUCCUGAAAGUUGAGUUUGUCUCCCAGUGUCUGUUGGAAAGCAGACUGAACCAGGUUUUCCUCUAGAAUUAUGCCUGGACUUGGCUCUUUUCUGUUUCUUUAAAUCCUAAAAUAACUCUCAAACCCAAAACAUGAAACAGCCACCAUCAUGCUUGAAAAUAUGAAGAGAUAUACUCAGUGAUGUGUUGGAUUUGCCCCAAACAUAACACUUUGUAUUCAGGACAAAAGCUACAUUUCUUUGCCACAUUUUUUGCAGUAUUUAGUGCCUUGUUACAAACAGGAUGUGUGUUUUGGAAUAUUUUAAGUCUGUAUAGGCUUCCUUUUCACUCUGUCAAUUGUGUUAUUAGUCCCUCCUUUGCAUUGGAAAAUCUCCCUGGUCUUUGUGGUUGGAUCUGUGUUUAAAA